Molecule: ribosomal RNA, 391 nt
Filed under: uncultured bacterium
Lineage: Bacteria
Description: bacterial SSU rRNA
Rfam family: Bacterial small subunit ribosomal RNA
Source: RNAcentral
AUUGAACGCUGGCGGCAGGCCUAACACAUGCAAGUCGAGCGGAUGAAAGGGGCUUGCUCCUGGAUUCAGCGGCGGACGGGUGAGUAAUACGCAGGAAUCUACCUAGUAGUGGGGGAUAACGUUUCGAAAGGGGCGCUAAUACCGCAUACGUUCUGAGGAAGAAAGCAGGGGAUCGCAAGACCUUGCGCUAUUAGAUGAGCUUGCGUCCGAUUAGCUAGUUGGUGGGUAAAGGCCUACCAAGGCGACGAUCGGUAACUGGUCUGAGAGGAUGAUCAGUCACACUGGAACUGAGACACGGUCCAGACUCCUACGGGAGGCAGCAGUGGGGAAUAUUGGACAAUGGGGGCAACCCUGAUCCAGCCAUGCCGCGUGUGUGAAGAAGGCCUCGGUU